Molecule: non-coding RNA, 23 nt
Filed under: Rattus norvegicus (Norway rat)
Lineage: Eukaryota; Metazoa; Chordata; Mammalia; Rodentia; Muridae
Source: RNAcentral
CUCAUUAGCAUGGUGCUGCUCCC